UGGAUCCAGACUUUGAUCAUGGCUCAGGAUGAACGCUAGCUACAGGCUUAACACAUGCAAGUCGAGGGGAAACGACAUCGAAAGCUUGCUUUUGAUGGGCGUCGACCGGCGCACGGGUGAGUAACGCGUAUCCAACCUGCCCACCACUUGGGGAUAACCCUGCGAAAGUAAGACUAAUACCCAAUGAUAUCUCUAGAAGACAUCUGAAGGAGAUUAAAGAUUUAUCGGUGAUGGAUGGGGAUGCGUCUGAUUAGCUUGUUGGCGGGGUAACGGCCCACCAAGGCUACGAUCAGUAGGGGUUCUGAGAGGAAGGUCCCCCACAUUGGAACUGAGACACGGUCCAAACUCCUACGGGAGGCAGCAGUGAGGAAUAUUGGUCAAUGGGCGAGAGCCUGAACCAGCCAAGUAGCGUGCAGGAUGACGGCCCUAUGGGUUGUAAACUGCUUUUAUAAGGGAAUAAAGUGGGAGUCGUGACUCUUUUUGCAUGUACCCUAUGAAUAAGGACCGGCUAAUUCCGUGCCAGCAGCCGCGGUAAUACGGAAGGUCCGGGCGUUAUCCGGAUUUAUUGGGUUUAAAGGGAGCGUAGGCCGGAGAUUAAGCGUGUUGUGAAAUGUUGAUGCUCAACAUCUGCACUGCAGCGCGAACUGGUUUCCUUGAGUACGCACAAAGUGGGUGGAAUUCGUGGUGUAGCGGUGAAAUGCUUAGAUACCACGAAGAACUCCGAUUGCGAAGGCAGCUCACUGGAGCGCAACUGACGCUGAAGCUCGAAAGUGCGGGUAUCGAACAGGAUUAGAUACCCUGGUAGUCCGCACGGUAAACGAUGGAUGCCCGCUGUUGGUCUGAAUAGGUCAGCGGCCAAGCGAAAGCAUUAAGCAUCCCACCUGGGGAGUACGCCGGCAACGGUGCAACUCAAAUGAAUUGACGGA
Molecule: ribosomal RNA, 926 nt
Filed under: uncultured bacterium
Lineage: Bacteria
Also listed under: 1 other name
Description: bacterial SSU rRNA
Rfam family: Bacterial small subunit ribosomal RNA
Source: RNAcentral